UACGGAGGGUGCAAGCGUUGUUCGGAAUCACUGGGCGUAAAGGGUGCGUAGGCGGCCGUGCAAGUCUGGCGUGAAAGCCCCGGGCUCAGCCCGGGAAGUGCGCUCGAAACUGCGCGGCUCGAGUGCCGGGAGGGGAGAGUGGAAUUCCUGGUGUAGCGGUGAAAUGCGUAGAUAUCAGGAGGAACACCUGCGGUGUAGACGGCUUACUGGACCAUAACUGACGCUGAGGCACGAAAGCGUGGGUAGCAAACAGG
Molecule: ribosomal RNA, 254 nt
Filed under: uncultured bacterium
Lineage: Bacteria
Description: partial 16S ribosomal RNA
Rfam family: Bacterial small subunit ribosomal RNA
Source: RNAcentral